Molecule: ribosomal RNA, 468 nt
Filed under: uncultured bacterium
Lineage: Bacteria
Description: partial 16S ribosomal RNA
Rfam family: Bacterial small subunit ribosomal RNA
Source: RNAcentral
GACGAACGCUGGCGGCGUGCUUAACACAUGCAAGUCGAACGGAAAGGCCCUGCUUUUGUGGGGUGCUCGAGUGGCGAACGGGUGAGUAACACGUGAGUAACCUGCCCUUGACUUUGGGAUAACUUCAGGAAACUGGGGCUAAUAUCGGAUAGGAGCUCCUGCUGCAUGGUGGGGGUUGGAAAGUUUCGGCGGUUGGGGAUGGACUCGCGGCUUAUCAGCUUGUUGGUGGGGUAGUGGCUUACCAAGGCUUUGACGGGUAGCCGGCCUGGGAGGGUGACCGGCCACAUUGGGCCUGAGAGACGGCCCAGACGCCUACGGGAGGCAGCAGUGGGAAAUAUUGCACAAUGGGCGGAAGCCUGAUGCAGCAGCGCCGCGUGCGGGAUGACGGCCUUCGGGUUGUAAACCGCUUUCGCCUGUGACGAAGCGUGAGUGACGGUAAUGGGUAAAGAAGCACCGGCUAACUACGUG